CUAAAAUGCAUAUGGAAUCUCAAGGGACCCUCAAGAGUGAAAAUAAUCUUGAUAAAGAAGAAUGUUGGAAGAAAAAAGAUUACUUCUACUUUUGGUCAAGAUGGAAUACCUGUCACUCUAUCCUCCUGCCUGAAGCAACUAAAAAACUGAACAACGUAGGUAAAACAAUGUCACUUAAGACACGGGCCAUCAGGCACUGAAGAACAGUAACUGCUGACCGAACAUGAAACAAAAGAGAGUUGCUGUAACAGAUUACAACAAAUCGGGUGGCUUUAAGACAACAGAAAUUCAUCAUCUCACCAUUUUGGAGGCCAGAAAUCCAAAAUCAAGAUGUUGGCAAGGCACCAUUUCCUCUAGAGGCUCUAGGAGAGAAUACCUUCCUUGUCUCUUCUAGCUCCUGGAAGCUGUCAACAUUACUCGACUUGUGGCUACAUCCCUCUCUGCCAUCUUCAUGUUGCCUUCUUCUGGUAUCUUCCUUUGUUUCUCUUACAAGGGCACUUGUGAUGGCAUUCAGGCCCCACUCAUAAUCUCAUCUCUAAAAUGCUUAAUUACAUCUGCAGAGACCCUUUUUCCAAAUAAAGUAAUAUUUACAAGUUCUCCAGGGAUUAGAGCUUGAUAUUUUGGGGUAGCCGUUUUUCAAUUAUACUUAUUUUCUACUUAAAAAAAAUUUCAUUUCA
RNAcentral lists this long non-coding RNA (677 nucleotides) under Homo sapiens (human). RNAcentral's name for it is "HSALNT0094359". Lineage: Eukaryota; Metazoa; Chordata; Mammalia; Primates; Hominidae. The record is from RNAcentral.